RNAcentral lists this ribosomal RNA (158 nucleotides) under Alternaria sp. DAR 74619. RNAcentral describes it as "Embellisia sp. DAR 74619 partial 28S ribosomal RNA". The stretch from base 102 to 158 matches the Rfam family "Eukaryotic large subunit ribosomal RNA", at positions 1 to 57 of the family's 3401-position model. Lineage: Eukaryota; Fungi; Ascomycota; Dothideomycetes; Pleosporales; Pleosporaceae. The record is from RNAcentral.
CCUUAAAGUCAUUGGCAGCCGGCCUACUGGUUUCGGAGCGCAGCACAAGUCGCACUCUUUUCCAGCCAAGGUCAGCGUCCAACAAGCCUUUUUUCAACUUUUGACCUCGGAUCAGGUAGGGAUACCCGCUGAACUUAAGCAUAUCAAUAAGCGGAGGA